Molecule: long non-coding RNA, 1605 nt
Organism: Oreochromis aureus
Lineage: Eukaryota; Metazoa; Chordata; Actinopteri; Cichliformes; Cichlidae
Exons: 6
Source: RefSeq, a predicted model, not a curated record
CACGGACACAUCUAAAAACUGCAGGACGCCGGCCCCUAAGGCCUGGAGUUGGGGACCCCUGUUGUAGGGUCUUACCAGGGACUACAGAUGACUACAGGCAUAUUUACAUGAUGAAUCACUCUGUACUGCACUACUUACUCUGUUGGGCUGGAUAUUAGCUGCUUCCAUCUUGGCCAGGAAGUCAGUGGGGGAGAAUUUGAACUCAUUCUGCAGGGUCCCAGGGGGUUGGAGUAUUUUCCAGCUGCCAUAGGGCGAGAGGUGCAGGACACCCUGGGCAGUUUCAGGGGCAUUUCCAGUCAGAGGGGCUAAAGGGCUGUUUGCUAUGAGGUGAUUGUCUCCUGUAGGGGGGUCAAGCAUGGUAAAGGUCAUGCAGGUGGGGAGUUGUCAGAUGGCUGUCCACCCCUCACUGGGCCAAGGGGCUCUCGUGCCGCCUGUCAAAGCCUGUGGCGAAGCAGGGAGAAGAAAGGGUGUCUGGAGACGACGUGUGCCAUGCUGUCUUGGCCCCGCCCCUGGCUGCCGUGCCAGCAGUUCUAGGAGACUGACUGUGUAUCGGUGUAUCACCCGCAUCCAUCUCUCUAACCUCCAGCCCUGCCUUCCCUCAUCCCCACGAGAGGGAGCAGCGGAUCAAGAAAAGGGGAAAGAUUCGUGGAAGGAGGGAGGGAGCGAAAGAGAAGUGUUUCUGUGUCCCAAAGGAUUGGUCUCUGUCUGUCUAAAUCAGGAAGUGAGAAUGUGACGGCAGGAGAGACAGAGCAGAGACAUCCUUUCAGUGUGUGUGUGUGUGUGUGUGUGUGUGCACCUUGUUGAGCUGAGGUGUCAUAUAUGUGAAGAUCACAGCUUCACGCUGGUGGCAACCAGGGAUGAUGCUCUAAAUCACUGAAAUGCCAGAGACAACCGUUGUGAUAUGGGCCGUGUCUGUGUGUGUUUGUGCGCGUGAAUGUCUUUUGGGACAUUUGAUGGAGAUUAAUACCACUUUUAGAGUCUGAAAGUGAAAAUGUUAUCAAGUAUGUCACCUUGGAAAAAAAAAAGUGUGUGACAUUGUCUCAUAUAGACACACACACUUGCACAAGGGGUCUAGAUCACCAGUUUUCAGCCUUUUGUGUCUAGUGUAUUUGAAAAGCCUUAUUGAAUUGAAGCACCCCUUCACUGACCAUUCAUGAAACUCUCAUGUUGAAAAUGUGAUCAUUUUAAUUGAUUUUUUUGUUAUUUAACAACCAUAAUAAUUUAAAGCACAAAUAGUAGCCUUGAUUUUUCAAGCAUGCAUCUAUUCAUUUUAAUUCCCAUGAUAUUUAUUUUCAUUACAAACAUUUGUCCAUGCUUUUAUAUGUAAAUGUAAACGAGUAAAAAAAACACUACUAUGUUUAGUUUUUGUUUUAUUUUGGUUAUCUAUAAAUAUUCUCCCCAUCUUACUAAGUUUGGUUGGGAAUCAAAUUAUUCAUAAUGCUCACUAUCCCCAGCAUAUGCACACACACACAAACACACCUAGCAACAUAACAUUCGCUGCCUUCCUUGGAUGAAUAAUUAGAUGGACACGGAGCUGUCUCUCUGUUUUCCCCUCACACAUUAAGCUACAUGAAUGUAGGCCAACUCACUGUCGACUUCACUUGC